RNAcentral lists this ribosomal RNA (399 nucleotides) under uncultured bacterium. Its description in RNAcentral is "bacterial SSU rRNA". It matches the Rfam family "Bacterial small subunit ribosomal RNA", at positions 358 to 773 of the family's 1533-position model. The record is from RNAcentral.
GGAAUCUCGCGCAAUGGGCGAAAGCCUGACGCAGCAACGCCGCGUGCGGGAAGAAGGCCUUCGGGUUGUAAACCGCUUUCAGAAGGAACGAAACUGACGGUACUUUCAGAAGAAGGUGCGGCCAACUACGUGCCAGCAGCCGCGGUGACACGUAGGCACCAAGCGUUGUCCGGAUUUAUUGGGCGUAAAGAGCUCGUAGGCGGUUCGAUAAGUCGGGUGUGAAAACUUUGGGCUCAACCCAAAGCGUGCAUUCGAUACUGUUGUGACUAGAGUUCGGUAGGGGAGUGGGGAAUUCCUAGUGUAGCGGUGAAAUGCGCAGAUAUUAGGAGGAACACCGGUGGCGAAGGCGCCACUCUGGGCCGAAACUGACGCUGAGGAGCGAAAGCGUGGGUAGCAAAC